UACGGGGGGAGCAAGCGUUGUUCGGAUUUACUGGGCGUAAAGGGCGCGUAGGCGGCGUGGUAAGUCACUUGUGAAAUCUCCGGGCUUAACUCGGAACGGUCAGCUGAUACUGCGGGGCUAGAGUGCAGAAGGGGCAACUGGAAUUCUCGGUGUAGCGGUGAAAUGCGUAGAUAUCGAGAGGAACACCUGCGGCGAAGGCGGGUUGCUGGGCUGACACUGACGCUGACAGCGCGAAAGCUAGGGGAGCGAACGGG
This 254-nucleotide ribosomal RNA is filed under the name uncultured bacterium. RNAcentral's name for it is "partial 16S ribosomal RNA". It matches the Rfam family "Bacterial small subunit ribosomal RNA", at positions 524 to 776 of the family's 1533-position model. The record is from RNAcentral.